This 103-nucleotide ribosomal RNA is filed under the name Posidoniimonas corsicana. The record is from RNAcentral. Lineage: Bacteria; Pseudomonadati; Planctomycetota; Planctomycetia; Pirellulales; Lacipirellulaceae. RNAcentral also lists the same sequence under 1 other name.
UGGCGACCAUAUCUGGACGGAAACACCUGUUCCCAUUCCGAACACAGUAGUUAAGCUUCCAGAGCCGAUGAUAGUGCCUACCAGUGCGAAAGUAGGUAUCGCC